RNAcentral lists this ribosomal RNA (326 nucleotides) under uncultured eukaryote. Its description in RNAcentral is "partial 18S ribosomal RNA". It matches the Rfam family "Eukaryotic small subunit ribosomal RNA", at positions 1470 to 1796 of the family's 1831-position model. The record is from RNAcentral.
CCCUUAGAUGUCCUGGGCCGCACGCGCGCUACACUGAACGGAUCAGCGCGUUUUCCCUUCCCGAGAGGGACGGGUAACCUGCUGAACCCCGUUCGUGGUAGGGAUCGGGGCUUGCAAUUAUUCCCCGUGAACCAGGAAUGCCCAGUAAGUGCAAGUCAUAAGCUUGCGUUGAUUACGUCCCUGCCCUUUGUACACACCGCCCGUCGCUACUACCGAUUGGACGUUUUAGUGAGGUACUCGGACUGAGCCUCAGAAGAUUCACGUCUUUUGUGCUGCUCGGGAAGAUUCCCAAACUUGAGCGUUUAGAGGAAGUAAAAGUCGUAACA